RNAcentral lists this ribosomal RNA (484 nucleotides) under uncultured bacterium. Its description in RNAcentral is "bacterial SSU rRNA". It matches the Rfam family "Bacterial small subunit ribosomal RNA", at positions 32 to 524 of the family's 1533-position model. The record is from RNAcentral.
AAUCAACGCUGGCGGCGUGCCUCAGACAUGCAAGUCGAACGAUUAAAGCUCUCUUCGGAGAGUGUAUAGAGUGGCGCACGGGUGAGUAACACGUAAGUAAUCUACCCUCGAGUGGGGAAUAACAACCGGAAACGGUUGCUAAUACCGCAUAAUGCAGCGGCACCGCAAGGUGACAGUUGUUAAAGAUUCAUCGCUUGAGGAGGGAGCUUGCGGCAGAUUAGCUAGUUGGUAGGGUAACGGCUUACCAAGGCUACGAUCUGUAACCGGUCUAAGAGGACAGUCGGUCACACUGACACUGAAUAACGGGUCAGACUCCUACGGGAGGCAGCAGUCGGGAAUUUUGGGCAAUGGGCGAAAGCCUGACCCAGCAACGCCGCGUGAAGGAUGAAGUAUUUCGGUAUGUAAACUUCGAAAGAAUAGGAAGAAUUAAUGACGGUACUAUUUAAUAAGGUCCGGCUAACUACGUGCCAGCAGCCGCGGUAAU